UACAGAGGGUGCGAGCGUUAAUCGGAUUUACUGGGCGUAAAGGGCGCGUAGGUGGUGAGGUAAGUAAGUUGUGAAAUCCCUGGGCUUAACCUGGGAAUGGCGACUUAAACUGUCUUGCUGGAGUACAAUAGAGGGUAGUGGAAUUUCCGGUGUAGCGGUGAAAUGCGUAGAUAUCGGAAGGAACACCAGUGGCGAAGGCGGCUACCUGGAUUGAUACUGACACUGAGGCGCGAAAGCGUGGGGAGCAAACAGG
This 253-nucleotide ribosomal RNA is filed under the name uncultured bacterium. Its description in RNAcentral is "partial 16S ribosomal RNA". It matches the Rfam family "Bacterial small subunit ribosomal RNA", at positions 524 to 776 of the family's 1533-position model. The record is from RNAcentral.